AGGGGUAUAGCUCAGUUGGUAGAGCGACGGUCUCCAAAACCGUAGGUCGUGGGUUCGAGCCCUACUACCCCUGCCA
Molecule: transfer RNA, 76 nt
Filed under: Acidobacteriota bacterium
Lineage: Bacteria; Pseudomonadati; Acidobacteriota
Description: Acidobacteria bacterium tRNA-Trp
Rfam family: tRNA
About the family: Transfer RNA (tRNA) molecules are approximately 80 nucleotides in length. Their secondary structure includes four short double-helical elements and three loops (D, anti-codon, and T loops).
Source: RNAcentral